AAGACAUUCUGGACACCAGCACUUCUGAUGGUCACCCAGAGAAUAGUGGUGUUACUGACACAGGUCUUUCUGGAUGAACUUUUCUACUGAGAGAAAUAGCCACACUUGGGCUUGAGCCAAAGAAGUUAAAAGAACAGAAUUCUGAGCAGUAUCCCAAGAGAAUACCUCUUGCUCCUUGCCUCAAUACAGGUGGUGGAGAACGUAGUCCACACGUGCUAUGGCAGGCUGUUUGUUAUCAUUGCAAGCUCUAAAAGUUCACUCCCCAUCACUGAGAGGGACAUCCUCAUAUAAUUCCUGGGAGCUUAUAGAAGUGAUUCCAGGACUUCAAGUUAGUAUUUCUGAUCCAGGCCCAUGUCAAAUACUUUCUGGGAACUCCUGGAUGUAGACCUGACUUCCAGGAAGAAGGUGGAGUGGUGAAUAGCAGAGAAAGAGCCUCUCUAAGAUUUGGUGUCCAGAUGCUGUAAUAUAGCAAUGUGAGGAUGAGAA
Molecule: long non-coding RNA, 486 nt
Organism: Fukomys damarensis (Damara mole-rat)
Lineage: Eukaryota; Metazoa; Chordata; Mammalia; Rodentia; Bathyergidae
Exons: 3
Source: RefSeq, a predicted model, not a curated record